AAUGAUUGGAAAUUAUGAAAUUAUCGUCAUUAGUAACUAUUGAAAAAAGUAAACAAUAAUACCGAUAAUAUGAGUUUCUUUAAAUAUUAGAUUUUUUUACUUUGCACGGUGAUUACGGACGCUAUGCAAAAUCAAUUUCUCUUAAUAAAUGGACAUCGUUUCAUUGUAAAAUAAGUUGCACAGCAGCCAACUUUUAGUCUACGAUUGUUUUGUUGAAAUCUCCGAGCAUCUAAGCGGUCUUUUUAGACUUAAGCGUUACUGCCGAAUUUAGUUGAAUGUUACUGACAUGAAUACACGUAACACGGUAUACCGAACCUAAGUGAUGAAGAGAUGAAUCAAAAAUUCUAUAUAAACAAAUAAGAAUGUCUUCGGCGAUGUUAGCAUUUGAAAGUAUAAAAAUAUCUAAUCCGUGAUGAAUUCUAUAAAGUACUCACAUAAUUGCUUUUGGUCCCCGUGGAAACGAUAACUUGCAUGGAUCAACUCCGAACACACAAUCUACACCACGACGAGGCUAAACCAAAGUAGUCUGCACUGCCAAAAAAGUUUUUACGGCGCUAAUUUUUGAAGUGUGAUAAUGAGUAAAACAGCAAUAGGACACAUUGAUGUAAAAGCUUGGGAAAAGAGGUCGGUUCUAGUUGCGAGUGGGAUAAUCUACAGGGCUUAAGAAGCAUGUGCUAGGUAAUGGCUAUGGGAGGAUAUCAUACGCCUAUAAACUUAUAGAGUAAACAAUGGAACUUUUAAAAAAAAUAAAUAAACACAUGAAGCUACUAAUAUACGAGAAUGUUUAGGUAACUUAAAUAUUAAUAAAAUCAUACUUUUAUAAC
Glossina fuscipes is the source of this 824-nucleotide long non-coding RNA. RefSeq lists it as uncharacterized. Lineage: Eukaryota; Metazoa; Arthropoda; Insecta; Diptera; Glossinidae. The record is from RefSeq and is a predicted model, not a curated record. The transcript has 3 exons.